RNAcentral lists this long non-coding RNA (3131 nucleotides) under Sus scrofa (pig). RNAcentral describes it as "lncRNA (ENSSSCG00025044581.1)". The record is from RNAcentral. Lineage: Eukaryota; Metazoa; Chordata; Mammalia; Artiodactyla; Suidae.
AGUUCCCGUCAUGGCGCAGUGGUUAACGAAUCCGACUAGGAACCAUGAGGUUGCGGGUUUGAUCCCUGCCCUUGCUCAGUGAGUUAACGAUCCGGCGUUGCUGUGAGCUGUGGUGUAGGUUGCAGAUGCGGCUCAGAUCCCAUGUUGCUGUGGCUGUGGUGUAGGCAGGUGGCUACAGCUCCAAUUUGACCCCUAGCCUGGGAACCUCCAUAUGCCGUGGGAGCGGCCCAAGAAAUGGCAAAAAGGACAAAAAAAAAAAAAAAAGAAAAGAAAAAUACACAUGCACCUUUUUGUUUAGUGCAACAGUAUUCACAAUAGCCAAGACAUGGAAACAACUUAAAUGUCCAUCACCAGAUGAAUGGAUUAAAAAGAUGUGGUACAUAUAGACAAUGGAAUACUACUCAGCCAAAAAAGGAACAAAAUAAUGCUAUUUGCAGCAACAUGGAUGGAACUAGAGAGUCUUAUACUAAGUGAAGUACAUCAGAAGGAGAAACACAAAUACCAUAUCAUAUCACUUAUGUCUGGAAUCUAAUAUAUGGCACAAAAUACAGAAAAGAAACAAUUCAUGAACAUGGAGAACAGACUUUUGGUUGCCAAGGAGGAGGUAGUGGGAUAGACUGGGAAUUUGAGAUUAGUGAAUGCAAACUAUUGCAUUUGGAGUGGAUAAGCAAUGAGAUCCUGCUGUAUAGCACAGGGAACUAUAUCUAAUCACUUGUGAUGGGACAUGAUGGAGGAUAAAGUAAAGGAAAAAAUGUGUGUGUGUGUGUAUAUAUAUAUGAAUGACUGGGUCAGUUUGCUGUACAGCAGAAAUUGACAGAACAUUGUAAAUCAGCUAUAAUAAAAAAAAUUUUAGGGUGUUCCCACUGUGGCCCAGUGAUAAUGAACCUGACUGCAAUGCCAGAUCCUUAACCCACUCAGAGAGGCCAGGGAUGGAACCCACAUCCUCAUGUCUAUUCACUGGGUUCUUAACCCACUGAGUCACAUUGGGAACUCCCCUGGUAAACAUAUUUUAGAUUAAAUGAUAGCAGCUAUCUUUGUUAAAAACUAGGAUUAUAUUUUCUGCUCUACAUUUUAGGGUUAGUUGCCAAUAUAAAAUCUCAAUAAAAUUUAUCAUUAUUAUAUAAUACACAAUAAUCAGAUUGUAUAUUCCUUCAAGACAUGAUUUGUGAAGUCCUCAUCGAUCAUUAAGUAUCAUCUUUAUACAACUGUAAAAAUUGUAAACUUCUGUGAUGCAAACCUAAAUUGCACGAACAAAAUGCUACAACUCAUCAAAUACUAGUACCUCCUUCUUCAACUGUAUAUUAGAUUGUCAUCUCUAAAUUAUCCUUUUCAUUUUGGCUAAUGUGAUUAGAAUAGAUAAUAGAAAAUAGGGAUAACAGGUAUUUGAAAUUCACAAAUAAACCAAAGCUCCCUUGAGUAAGUAGUUUCUGCCUUUUCUCACCAGAUCCUUAGUCUAGUUAUGCCCUUUCACUGUCCUCUUCAUCUUCUAGUGGAAUUCCUAGUAAGCAGUGGAAAUACAUAGAGAGAGACUAAAACUAUAGAGAAGGGAGCUUGGUGAGUCCAAAUAGCCACAAAACUGAAGGAUUUCUGGGACAUGUAGGAAUUUGGCUGUACUAUUAUCAAGAGGAUAUUUUUAUGAAUGUUAAUUAUUUAUGACCAUUUAUAAUCUUUGUGUUUAUUAGUUGAGGUAUUUGGAGAAUAAAAUUAUAUAGCAGCUAAUAAAAUAACAUUUUUAAGCUCCCAGCUUAAACACAGUCAUCAUUUCAAAAGACUCUCUGAAAUGUAUUCUAAAUCCUACUGGGGAACUAAAAGGCUCUCCCAGGGUUUAUAGUCACUUGAACAUCAACUUUAUUCUCGAGUUUCAGGCUUGGUUUAGUCACUGUUGAUUUGUGUACUGGUAAUGACCAGGAAUAUUCUAGAAGUACACAGUUUGGCUCCUCACUUUAUAAUCUGAAGAGACCAUCACUGAUGUUUUAUAAAACGUUUGAGCAACAGAAAAGGAUAAUUUGCAGUUCACUUCAACGCGUCUUUUUUCUUCAACCUAAUAUGGAUAUAAAAUGUAUCUGGCAUUAGUGUUUCCUAGUAUUGCCGCAGCUUGCCAGAAUAUUUGGAUCUUUGCACAAUGAAUCCUUUAUUACAGUAAAUAUAAAAAGACAUAAGAUUCAAAACAGCUCAUCACAUUUCUUCUAAUGUUCCUUGUCCUCAAGAACAUAUUUUAAUAUAUACUAAGUAUUUGAAUUGAUUUUCACAUUUGGGGAGGUUUUAAACUGGAUGUUUUAAUUAUGAUCCCUUUCACACUGGAUGAAAACUCAGUCUUCUGAGGUUGUCAAGCUUAUUUACUACGUGGCUUUUUGACAUAAUGUAGGAGUUAUCUUAGACAUAGAGGUUGUCAUGAAACCAGGCCCUUGCCAAUAGAUUCUGAUUCUGCAAGAUCUUAGAAGAUUUUUCACAUUAUGUGAAGGACCAGUUAAAUGAAUGGUGUGAUUUUAGAUGUGUUUACUACCCUCAAUAUUGAACACUUAGAGGACAUCCUGGAUAUACCCACUAGUAAAGAGCACUGUUAAUAAGGUUUGCAUGUGGGUUUUUUUGAGCCUGUUCAGAAAACUGGCAAAGGUUGAGAGUGUUAUUAAUCCCACUCUGCAAUGUGGGCAGGUAAUUAAGAAUUUCUGUUGACUUUGGGAAAAGGAAAAUGAUUUUAAGCUUUAUUAAAAGGAUACUAACUUUAGGGAUACAGCAGACCGUCUCCAUUCUAGCCAUCUCAGCUCAUAAAAUAAUCUAUAUCAUAUCUCUAUAGGCAGAAGGUAAAGAAUAGACCUCAGUAUGGGGAGGGAUGAAGAGCUGUGAGACAAGAGGACUUUUUUAAGCUAUUGGGGAAGGGUUUUAACUCCCACCUCAUGACUUCCUUAGAUACCUGGGUUGCGAAGGCUAUGCAAGUAACCCAGGUUCCCAGAGAAUCAGAGAGGUGGCCAAAAUCAUUUGGGUGAAUGAAUGUAUCUUUCAAUGUCUCACAGAUCCUAAGUUUUGCCUGGUCCAGAGUGAUGUCAAGUGGUCCUCAGUGUGGUCAGUCCUCAGUGAGUGGGUUAAGAACCCAAUGGGUAUCUUAAAAAAGAAGAAGAAAGGGAUCUGAAACC